Molecule: ribosomal RNA, 389 nt
Filed under: Bacillus cereus
Lineage: Bacteria; Bacillati; Bacillota; Bacilli; Caryophanales; Bacillaceae
Description: bacterial SSU rRNA
Rfam family: Bacterial small subunit ribosomal RNA
Source: RNAcentral
UUAUUGGGCGUAAGCGCGCGCAGGUGGUUUCUUAAGUCUGAUGUGAAAGCCCACGGCUCAACCGUGGAGGGUCAUUGGAAACUGGGAGACUUGAGUGCAGAAGAGGAAAGUGGAAUUCCAUGUGUAGCGGUGAAAUGCGUAGAGAUAUGGAGGAACACCAGUGGCGAAGGCGACUUUCUGGUCUGUAACUGACACUGAGGCGCGAAAGCGUGGGGAGCAAACAGGAUUAGAUACCCUGGUAGUCCACGCCGUAAACGAUGAGUGCUAAGUGUUAGAGGGUUUCCGCCCUUUAGUGCUGAAGUUAACGCAUUAAGCACUCCGCCUGGGGAGUACGGCCGCAAGGCUGAAACUCAAAGGAAUUGACGGGGGCCCGCACCUGCGGUGGAGCA